GGACCCGCACAAGUAGUGGAGCAUGUGGUUUAAUUCGAUGCAACGCGAAGAACCUUACCAGGCCUUGACAUCCUCGGAACUUUCUAGAGAUAGAUUGGUGCCUUCGGGAACCGAGUGACAGGUGCUGCAUGGCUGUCGUCAGCUCGUGUCGUGAGAUGUUGGGUUAAGUCCCGUAACGAGCGCAACCCUUGUCCUUAGUUGCCAGCACUUCGGCUGGGCACUCUAUGGAAACUGCCCGUGAUAAGCGGGAGGAAGGUGUGGAUGACGUCAAGUCCUCAUGGCCCUUACGGGUUGGGCUACACACGUGCUACAAUGGUAGUGACAAUGGGUUAAUCCCAAAAGCUAUCUCAGUUCGGAUUGUCGUCUGCAACUCGACGGCAUG
RNAcentral lists this ribosomal RNA (382 nucleotides) under uncultured bacterium. RNAcentral's name for it is "bacterial SSU rRNA". It matches the Rfam family "Bacterial small subunit ribosomal RNA", at positions 917 to 1322 of the family's 1533-position model. The record is from RNAcentral.